This 450-nucleotide ribosomal RNA is filed under the name uncultured bacterium. Its description in RNAcentral is "partial 16S ribosomal RNA". It matches the Rfam family "Bacterial small subunit ribosomal RNA", at positions 354 to 796 of the family's 1533-position model. The record is from RNAcentral.
GUGGGGAAUAUUGGACAAUGGGCGAAAGCCUGAUCCAGCCAUGCCGCGUGUGUGAAGAAGGUCUUCGGAUUGUAAAGCACUUUAAGUUGGGAGGAAGGGCAGUAAGUUAAUACCUUGCUGUUUUGACGUUACCGACAGAAUAAGCACCGGCUAACUUCGUGCCAGCAGCCGCGGUAAUACGAAGGGUGCAAGCGUUAAUCGGAAUUACUGGGCGUAAAGCGCGCGUAGGUGGUUUUGUAAGUUGGAGGUGAAAUCCCCGUGCUCAACCUGGGAACUGCCUCCAAAACUGCAUGACUAGAGUACGGUAGAGGGUAGUGGAAUUUCCUGUGUAGCGGUGACAUGCGUAGAUAUAGGAAGGAACACCAGUGGCGAAGGCGACUACCUGGACUGAUACUGACACUGAGGUGCGAAAGCGUGGGGAGCAAACAGGAUUAGAAACCCGUGUAGUCC